AGCGAACGCUGGCGGCAGGCCUAACACAUGCAAGUCGAACGCCCCUUCGGGGGAGUGGCGGACGGGUGAGUAACGCGUGGGAACGUGCCCUUUGGUACGGAACAACUGAGGGAAACUUCGGCUAAUACCGUAUGUGCCCCCAUUCUUAGCGGGAUGGGUGGGAAAGAUUUAUCGCCAUUGGAGCGGCCCGCGUUAGAUUAGCUAGUUGGUAGGGUAAUGGCCUACCAAGGCGACGAUCUAUAGCUGGUCUGAGAGGAUGAUCAGCCACACUGGGACUGAGACACGGCCCAGACUCCUACGGGAGGCAGCAGUGGGGAAUCUUGCGCAAUGGGCGAAAGCCUGACGCAGCCAUGCCGCGUGAAUGAUGAAGGUCUUAGGAUUGUAAAAUUCUUUCACCGGGGACGAUAAUGACGGUACCCGGAGAAGAAGCCCCGGCUAACUUCGUGCCAACAGCCGCGGUAAUGUGACUACUG
This 473-nucleotide ribosomal RNA is filed under the name uncultured bacterium. RNAcentral's name for it is "bacterial SSU rRNA". It matches the Rfam family "Bacterial small subunit ribosomal RNA", at positions 29 to 531 of the family's 1533-position model. The record is from RNAcentral.